AGUUUGAAAUAGUAGAUAAUACUGCGGAAAACGAAAUCCCAAGUAAAUACAGCCAAAUGAUCCUGCAUCACAAGUCUGAGCCUAUAAGUAUUCUGAACAAUAUCCUAAACAUAGAAAAAAUCUAGACAUGGAAGCAAAAGAUAGAUAAGAGGAGACAUAAGGUUCUGCGGAUGCCAGCAGCUACCUUGAUAACUCUGGAACCGAUCCAGGCAAUAGAAAUAAGCACAGCUAAGCCUCCGGGAUCCCUGUAUUUGCACACAAGGUGCAAGAAGUAGAGUGAGUACUUCCAACUUAGUGACUAGUAGCAAUAAAUAAUAACUGAAUAUAAGAAAUCCGGUAAAAACACUAUACAGUUCUAUGUGCAACAGCAAGAACAGUAAAUAAGUACCGAACAGGGAGAAGAGUCUGAUAAAUACUUUCCUUUCCGUCCGACCAGUUAUUAACGCUGCUGCGACGCACAGCCCGAUCCAACCAUAUAUAUAUAUAUAUAUAUACACUACUGCGGCACGCAGCCCGAUCCAAUAUAAUAUAUAAAAUGAUGCGCUCACUAGGGGUGUGUACAGACUCCGGAGGGGCUCCUUCAGCCCAAGCGCUAAAAUACUGCAGUUUGCAGUCCGAUCAAUUGGGGCUCCUUCAGCCCAACUCCUAUCCUCGAGGCCUCUUGGCCUCCCUCUCCUCUCUCUCCUAACGGCGAGCCAUCUCAAUAUCGUGGGCUAUGUCCACCGCCUCCUCAAAGGUAUGACUCAGGACCCUCUCUCAAGUCAUCAGAAUACAAAUGGGAUAAAUGAGCCCGUCCACAAAUCGUCAGAUCCUCUCCUAAUCCGUCUGGACUAUCCACGUAGCAUGACGAUCUAACUCUGCAAAUAUCACCUCAUACUGCAUCACAGACAUAUCCCCAUGGCGAAGCAUCUCAAACUGCCUAUGUAACUCCUCCCUCUGCGACCGAGGUACCCACUUCUCCAAAAAGAUAGUGGAGAACUCCUGCCAAGAUAACGAUGCUGCAUCUACCAGCCUAUGCCUCUCAUAUGCCUCUCACCAGGUGAAGGAUGCUCUUGAGAACUGAAAAGUGGUAAACGAUACCCCACUAGUCUCCAAGAUCCUUGCAGUCCUGAGCAUGCGUCGACACUUGUCGAGAAACCCCUGGGCAUCCUCACCCGGAACACCGCUAAAAGUUGGAGGUGAAAGCGUGCUAAACCUCUCCAUACGACGCUGCUCGUCAUCUAGCAUCACUGGUACCCCAUCACUCUGAACUAGAACAACUGGAUGAACAGGGGCAACUGGCUUAACUGGUGGUGCCUCUGGGGUCUGCAAACCCUGUGCACCCUUCUCUGGAGUGCGAGCUGCGGGGGUCUGAUGACCACCCCGGUCUGGGAUAUAGCUGCGGUAGUAGUUGAGAUUGCCUGAGCCAGGCCGAUGCAAACUGAUAAGAUCUGAGCCAGGGCUUCCUGAAGACCCGGAAUCACAAUAGGCACUGUUAGUGCGUGAGCAGGUGCUACUGGAACCUCUACAGCUGGAGGCUGAUCCUGAACGGGGGCAACUAGUACGGCCCCUGCUGCUCUGCCUCGACCACGACCACGGCCGCGUCCCCGACCUCUAGUGGGUGGCAAUCGUGGUCGUCCGCCACGUCCGGUCGCACGGGUUCUCACUAUCUGCGAGAGAAUAAAAUACAGAAGUUUAGUCCUCAGAUCCACAAAGUUGCACGACAAGAAUUUCAAGAAUAUGAAGUUUUUCCUAAAGGUUUUGCAGCCUCCCGAGGAUAAGUACAGACGUCUCCGUACCGAUCCACGAGACUCUACUGAACCGGCUCAUGACUCACAGACCUGGUAACCUAGGCUCUGAUACCAACUUGUCACGAUCCGACCCAGGUUGUGAUGGCGCCAAACACCCUGUAAGGCAAGCCCGACCAUUUAUCAUUUCCAUACAAAAACAUUAAGUUAACUACUACUUUAAAGAUAAAAUCCCAUUUUGAAAUAGUAGAUAAUACUGUGGAAACGAAAUCCCAAGUAAAUACAGCCAAAGGAUCCGGCGUCACAAGUCUGAGCCUCUAAGUACUCUGAACAGUAUCCUAAACAUAGAAAAAAUCUAGACAUGGAAGCAAGAUAGAUAAGAGGAGACAUCAGGUUCUGUAGACGCCAGCAGCUACCUUGAUAACUCCGGAACCAAUCCAGGCAAUAGAAAUAAGCACAGCUAAGCCUCCGGGAUCCCUGUAUUUGCACACAAGGUGUAGGGAGUAGAGUGAGUACUUCCAACUCAGUGAGUAAUAGCAAUAAAUAAACAGCUAAGCCUCCGGGAUCCCUGUAUUUGCACACAAGGUGCAAGAAGUAGAGUGAGUACUUCCAACUUAGUGACUAGUAGCAAUAAAUAAUAACUGAAUAUAAGAAAUCCUGUAAAAACACUAUACAAUUCUAUUUGCAACAGCAAGAACAGUAAAUAAGUACCGAACAGGGAGAAGAAUCUGAUAAAUACUUUCCUUUCCGUCCGACCAGUUACUAAUGCUACUGUGGUGCGCAGCCCGAUCCAACCAUAUAUAUAUAUAUAUAUAUAUAUAUAUAUAUAUAUACUGUUGCAGCGCGCAGCCCGAUCCAAUAUAAUAUAUAAAAUGUUGCGCUCACUGGGGGUGUGUACAGACUCUGGAGGGGCUCCUUCAGCCCAAACGCUAAAAUACUGCGGUGUGCAGUCCGAUCCAUAUAAUAUAGUACUACGACGUGCAGUCCGAUCCAUAUAAUAUAAUACUGCAGCGUGUAGUCUGAUCCAUAUAAUAUAAUACUGCGGCGUGCAGCCCGACCCGAUAUAUAUGUAUAUAUAUCAAAUAGCCUCGCCAUAGGGUCCUUGUCCCCUCUCAGUCAAUAUAGACUUGUCCUCUCGGGCCCACUCAGCUAAGACAGGGUAUUCAACCUUAGGUAUUGCUCAUUUAUGGUGCAAGUUGCAAAGUCCGAUUUAUUUCAUGAUUUACAAGCAAAGUUAGGAAAGCUGGUAUGUGUCCAAUAGGUAAAGUGAGGUCAAACAUCUCAACAUGCUCCCUAGGAGUUCUACAGAUCGGCACAAGGCCCCAAACAUGGCAACUAGCCCAAAAUAUACGAGCACAAGCUCAUUCUCAGUCAAGAAGUACAGUAAGACACCAAUCGGGAUGGACCAAGUCCGACUCCCCAGCAGAUAUAUCACCAUGCUCAUCACGAGAUGCAUGUCUCAGCUCAACAUAGCACCGCAUAGUGCAAAUACGGGGUUUCUAACCCUCAGUAUAUCAUUCAUAGCCAUUACUCACCUCAAACCGGCCAAAAUCCUAGCUCGCCUUGCGCUUUCUUGCGAAUCGAUAUCCUCGGGUGCAAAUCUGACCAAAACCACAAGGAAUAUGUCAUAAUAGGCUAAUAGAAUAAAAAACAAUAGAAAGGACUCGAAAAGCACCCAAAAAUACGAAGUUGGCAAGACUCGAGCCCCGGGCUCACUUCUCAAAAAAUUACAAAAUUUACAUCUUCGGAAUCCUCGUCUUGCCAUGAGUCCGUAUAUAUAAAUUUCAUCAAAAUCGGAGUCCAAAUGGGCCAUCAAAUCCCUAAUUUUCAUUUCAAAAACCAAACUCUAGUUUCUUCAAUUUUCCCCCAUAUUUUCAGAGAAUUAAUGUAUGAUUCUUCAAUACAAUCACAUAAUUAGCUCAUAAAUCUUACCUCAAGUCAAAACCUAGGUGAAAUCCUCUUACUACCUCGUCCAAUAGCUCCAAAAUGUGCUCAACAAUGGUGGAAAUUGAUAUUAGCUCGCGGAUAAAAUGUUUAUAAACCCUUAUGUCCGCCCAGAAAAUCCCUUCAUCACGUUCGCGACUCUAGCCACGCGAACGCGAUGCUUUAUCUGAUCUAUCUCCCAGGCCCUCAUACGCAAAAGCGACCCUCACAACGCGAACGCGAUGGCCCACUCCCCUGGCCUACGUGAACGCGUCACCAUAUCACGCGAACACGAUCAAGAAGACUCCACUACUACGCGAUCGCGGCCUCUCCUUCGCUAACGCGAAGGCAAAAAUCCAGGCUCCCAGAUUCCCUCUACGCGUUCGCGUCCACCACCCCGCGAAAGCGAUGCCUUAUGGUCUGCAACACUUAUGAUAGAAAAAUAUGAUCUUUAUACAAGCUAAAAAUGAUCCGUUUGAACCUCUGAAAUCACCCCGAGGCCACGGGACCCCAACCAAAACCACCAAUCUACUCCAUAUCAUCAUACGAACAUGUCCGAAUCAUUAAAAACACAACCUUUAACACGAAAAUCAUCAAAUCAAGACGGAUUCAAGCCUAAGUUCAACUAUAACUUCCGAAUCUCACAUUCGACCAAAAACCCGACCAAACAACAUCCGAUUGACUUGAAAAUUUACACAGAUAUCCAAAAUCACGUAACAAAGCUACUGCAACCCUCAGAAUUCCAUUCUGACCCUCGGAUCAAAAUCUCACCUAUCAAUCGGAAUUCACCGAAAUUCAACUUAGCCAAUUCAAGCCAAAUUCUGCACCAGACCUCCAAAUUCAGUUCCGAUUUCACUCCCAAGUCAUAAAUCACCACUCGAAACUAGCGGAAUCAUCGGAGAUCUAUUCCGAUCCCUUUAAAUCAUAAGUCAACAUUCGAUUGACUUUUCCAAACUAGCCUUAUCUUAAAAAGACUAUUUGUCUCAAAUCCAACCAUUCUCUGACCGAAUCACUUCAAACUCUACAAAUACAUAUAUUGUAGCAUAAACCGGGAAAAACGGGACGGUAGCUCACGUGUCGAUGGGCCGGGUCAUCACAAGUUUUCAAUAACGGAGUGUUACCUUGCCUACUUGAAGAUCGCAUCACUUCAUUCCAGCUACCCUUAGUUUUUCUCUUUGUUAUCCCAUCAACUUUAGUAAAUGAUUUUGGGGAUACCUAGUGGCGGAUCUAGGAUUUUUGGUUCGUGGGUGCUUAAUUUUUUUUGACAAAAAAUAUUAUCAAUUACAUCAUAUAAAUGCAUAACUAUUUGAACACAGUGAUAAUAAACUACUGAGAAAACUCAUUCAGUAGUAUUAAUAUGGACAUCGUGGAACUAUGAUGAAUAACACAAUUGGUCUUCAAAAAGGAUCUAACUUCGGAUUCCUUUUUAAGUAGUUUUUCUUUCUUUACUAUAGUGAUUUACAACAACAACAACAACAACCCAGUAUAAUCCCACUUAGUGGGGUCUGGGGAGGGUAGUNNN
This 5172-nucleotide long non-coding RNA is filed under the name Nicotiana benthamiana. RNAcentral describes it as "long non-coding RNA (NBEN_LNC015786)". The record is from RNAcentral. Lineage: Eukaryota; Viridiplantae; Streptophyta; Magnoliopsida; Solanales; Solanaceae.